AGAGAAUACCAAGGCGCUUGAGAGAACUCGGGUGAAGGAACUAGGCAAAAUGGUGCCGUAACUUCGGGAGAAGGCACGCUGAUAUGUAGGUGAAGUCCCUCGCGGAUGGAGCUGAAAUCAGUCGAAGAUACCAGCUGGCUGCAACUGUUUAUUAAAAACACAGCACUGUGCAAACACGAAAGUGGACGUAUACGGUGUGACGCCUGCCCGGUGCCGGAAGGUUAAUUGAUGGGGUCAGCGCAAGCGAAGCUCUUGAUCGAAGCCCCGGUAAACGGCGGCCGUAACUAUAACGGUCCUAAGGUAGCGAAAUUCCUUGUCGGGUAAGUUCCGACCUGCACGAAUGGCGUAAUGAUGGCCAGGCUGUCUCCACCCGAGACUCAGUGAAAUUGAACUCGCUGUGAAGAUGCAGUGUACCCGCGGCAAGACGGAAAGACCCCGUGAACCUUUACUAUAGCUUGACACUGAACAUUGAGCCUUGAUGUGUAGGAUAGGUGGGAGGCUUUGAAGUGUGGACGCCAGUCUGCAUGGAGCCGACCUUGAAAUACCACCCUUUAAUGUUUGAUGUUCUAACGUUGACCCGUGAUCCGGGUUGCGGACAGUGUCUGGUGGGUAGUUUGACUGGGGCGGUCUCCUCCUAAAGAGUAACGGAGGAGCACGAAGGUUGGCUAAUCCUGGUCGGACAUCAGGAGGUUAGUGCAAUGGCAUAAGCCAGCUUGACUGCGAGCGUGACGGCGCGAGCAGGUGCGAAAGCAGGUCAUAGUGAUCCGGUGGUUCUGAAUGGAAGGGCCAUCGCUCAACGGAUAAAAGGUACUCCGGGGAUAACAGGCUGAUACCGCCCAAGAGUUCAUAUCGACGGCGGUGUUUGGCACCUCGAUGUCGGCUCAUCACAUCCUGGGGCUGAAGUAGGUCCCAAGGGUAUGGCUGUUCGCCAUUUAAAGUGGUACGCGAGCUGGGUUUAGAACGUCGUGAGACAGUUCGGUCCCUAUCUGCCGUGGGCGCUGGAGAACUGAGGGGGGCUGCUCCUAGUACGAGAGGACCGGAGUGGACGCAUCACUGGUGUUCGGGUUGUCAUGCCAAUGGCACUGCCCGGUAGCUAAAUGCGGAAGAGAUAAGUGCUGAAAGCAUCUAAGCACGAAACUUGCCCCGAGAUGAGUUCUCCCUGACUCCUUGAGAGUCCUGAAGGAACGUUGAAGACGACGACGUUGAUAGGCCGGGUGUGUAAGCGCAGCGAUGCGUUGAGCUAACCGGUACUAAUGAACCGUGAGGCUUAACCUU
Molecule: ribosomal RNA, 1275 nt
Filed under: Escherichia coli
Lineage: Bacteria; Pseudomonadati; Pseudomonadota; Gammaproteobacteria; Enterobacterales; Enterobacteriaceae
Description: bacterial LSU rRNA
Rfam family: Bacterial large subunit ribosomal RNA
Source: RNAcentral